Molecule: ribosomal RNA, 436 nt
Filed under: Pycnoscelus sp. 1 ZW-2018
Lineage: Eukaryota; Metazoa; Arthropoda; Insecta; Blattodea; Blaberidae
Description: partial 16S ribosomal RNA
Rfam family: Archaeal large subunit ribosomal RNA
Source: RNAcentral
CUUUUCUUGUAUAUGUAUAUGAAAUAUAGCCUGCCCAAUGAGAAUUUGAAUGGCCGCGGUAUUUUGACCGUGCAAAGGUAGCAUAAUCAUUAGUCUUUUAAUUGAAGGCUGGAAUGAAUGGCUGGACGAGAUAAAUACUGUCUUGGAAUUAAUUAAUUAGAAUUUAACUUUUGAGUUAAAAUGCUUAAAUUUGCUUUUGGGACGAGAAGACCCUAUAGAGUUUAUAUAAAUUUUUGUUUCUAGUUGAGUUUGUUAAUAAUUUGGGUAUAAAAAUUUAUUUGGUUGGGGUGACAAUAAGAUAUUUAAAACUCUUUUAUUUUGUUUAGUUAUAGAUUUAUAUAUUAUUGAUCCAUUAUUAAUGAUUAGAAGACUAAAUUACCUUAGGGAUAACAGCGUAAUCCUUUUUGAGAGUUCAUAUCGACAAAGGGGAUUGCGA